GACGAACGCUGGCGGCGUGCUUAACACAUGCAAGUCGAACGAAGAGCGAUGGAAGCUUGCUUCUAUCAAUCUUAGUGGCGAACGGGUGAGUAACGCGUAAUCAACCUGCCCUUCAGAGGGGGACAACAGUUGGAAACGACUGCUAAUACCGCAUACGAUCUAAUCUCUGCAUCGAGGAUAGAUGAAAGGUGGCCUCUACAUGUAAGCUAUCACUGAAGGAGGGGAUUGCGUCUGAUUAGCUAGUUGGAGGGGUAACGGCCCACCAAGGCGAUGAUCAGUAGCCGGUCUGAGAGGAUGAACGGCCACAUUGGGACUGAGACACGGCCCAGACUCCUACGGGAGGCAGCAGUGGGGAAUCUUCCGCAAUGGACGAAAGUCUGACGGAGCAACGCCGCGUGAGUGAUGACGGCCUUCGGGUUGUAAAGCUCUGUUAAUCGGGACGAAAGGCCUUCUUGCGAAUAGUGAGAAGGAUUGACGGUACCGGAAUAGAAAGCCACGGCUAACUACGUG
This 510-nucleotide ribosomal RNA is filed under the name uncultured bacterium. Its description in RNAcentral is "partial 16S ribosomal RNA". It matches the Rfam family "Bacterial small subunit ribosomal RNA", at positions 28 to 507 of the family's 1533-position model. The record is from RNAcentral.